RNAcentral lists this long non-coding RNA (1104 nucleotides) under Numida meleagris (helmeted guineafowl). RNAcentral's name for it is "lncRNA (ENSNMEG00000018489.1)". The record is from RNAcentral. Lineage: Eukaryota; Metazoa; Chordata; Aves; Galliformes; Numididae.
GCCGCGCUGCGCCGGGAGGGCCGGGCCGGGCCGGGCGGGCGGCGCGGGGCUGGGAUGGGGCUGGAGCUGGGAUGGGGUGGGGGCACGCCGGGCCCCGCCGCCUCCCGCAUCCCCCGUGUACUGGCAGCAAGAGGAGGGAAAAAAGAGAAAAAAAAAACCAGUAGCAAAUAAUUUUUUUUUCUUAAGUUCACGGGGAGGAAUUAAAAAAAAAAAAAAAAAAGAUGAUGAUCUCAGUGUUACGGAAGAAAAAUCUAUUGAACUUCCGAUCGGACGGAUUUCAGCUGCAAACGCGGAGCCCUUCACGUGCAUUAGCUUCUCCGGGGGUCACAGUCUAUUUCAGAGAGCCAGAACCCAGACUCCGCACACGAGGCUCGGCGCUGAGCUCGCCCUUCCCGGCACUUCCAAAGCCAGGUACCAAUUAUUUCCCAGUCCCACCGUCAGACGACCAACCCCGCUCAGCGUCCCGCCCGCUCGGCACCGCGCCCGCCCCGAGCCCCGUCGCUGCCCCUUCCGCCGCCCGUCCGCACCGCAGCUCCCGAGCACGGCGGCAGCGGCUGAGUUGCGGGGGGCCCCGCACACGGACAGCGCGGCGGCGGCCAGCGGGGAUUCCCGGCUAAGUUCGCCGACUUGGCUCGGCCCCGAGCAGGGGGGGGGUUCGCCGGGGACUGCGGGGCGCGCCGAGCGCCGGGGCCGGGCCCCCACCUGCCCGCUGCAGGCGCGGAGCGGAGCGGGGGGCAGCGCCGGCACCGCCGGCUGCGGGGAGCGCCCGGUGCCCCCCGGAUGCGCGGGGGCCGCCGCGGCUUCGCCCGGUGCGGAACAAAGGAGGAGCGGUUCGCAUCAGCGCUGCCGGGACGGACGCGCCUCUGCCAAGUUUGUUUAAGAACACGGCUGCCCGCGCCCGACAACGAUCCCCGGCUUUUGUGCAAUACAAAGCGUUGUCAAUAACUAUUACAGCGGCGGCAAUUAUCUGAGGAGAGAACAAAGGCGUUUUGUAAUAUCUACAUAACUUUAUUAGAGCAAAAUUAUUUUUAAAUGCCUACGAAUUCCCAAACCUCCUGAGUACAAAUGAAUAAAAGUUUUUCUCCGGGCUAAAAUCUUUGCUUG